RNAcentral lists this long non-coding RNA (1637 nucleotides) under Sorghum bicolor (sorghum). RNAcentral describes it as "long non-coding RNA (SBIC_LNC018494)". Lineage: Eukaryota; Viridiplantae; Streptophyta; Magnoliopsida; Poales; Poaceae. The record is from RNAcentral.
AGCACCCCUUUGGUCGUCCUCCCCUCUAUUUAUUUACAUCUAGAGCCGCCAUGAACAACUGGGUUUUGUUUAGAUCAAGUUUAGCCUUCGCUACUUGCUUGUAGGCGCGCGUGCAGGAUCAGCCGCCCGUCUCCUUGUCUUCGGAACCCCAUUGUUGAUUCAGAUUCAGUUUGAAACCUUCAAUUCAUCUUGCAAAUUCAGUGCUUGUUUCCUCGUUCUUGCUAGUUCUUCGAUUGCUUGCAGGACGGGAGCCCUAGGGGCUGGUUGUCGCACUCCACAAGAUCGUGACGGCUGUUGGACGUGGUGUAUCGGUUGCUAAGGCGCGGUCUUGAGGGCUGUAGUCGGGCCAUGAACGUCAUCUCCAUCCACUAAUCGAGUUAUCCAGCGCCUCUCAUCGAAAGAUCAGGCCAAAAACCCUAGCGGGUUCGCAUCAGUUGGUAAUCAGAGCAAGGUUCUUCGGUGAGAGACUUCUAAUCCUUUGCUGUUUUUAAUUAAUUUCCUAUAGUCCAGAAAAGCCAAAAAAAAUAUAGUAGAUUAGUUUUUCCAUAAUCCUAUUAAACCUUUGUGCCUUGGCUAGUACCGUUUUAGUUAGGGCUUGUUGAAUUUGCGUUGCUUCGGUUUGUGUCGAGUUGCUGGUCUUAGUGUCUAGUCCUUUAGAGUUUCGAGUUCUUGUCACCAUCUAUACACAGCCGAGUAUUACCAUACCUUCUCUCUGUCAAAUCUGUUGUGAAGUCUGAAUUGAACUGUGAUCCAAAAAGAACGAUAACUCCAUACUUGUUCGGCCUUACUCUAGAGAGAGAGAGAGAGAGAGAGAGAGAGAGUGUAGCGAAUUGCUCUUUUGUAUUCCUUUGUUCAUAUAAUCAGUUUUUGAGGUUGCCCAAAAAAAAAGAAAAAAAAAGAAAAGAGAAAAGAUUCAAAAGAAAAAAAGGGGCUGUUUUCCAUAUUGAUCUUAGGUUUCUUCCACCUUGUUUUCGGGGGUGUGCUGUGGUUUUCCUUUGUGUCCAGGCUUGCGUCUCUAGCACGGUCUAGCCUAGGACCAGCACAGUACCAUCGUCGAACGCUUAUUCAGCUCGCUUUUAUAACUAACGUGGUGCUAGUUCGUUCCUUGUUUCAGCCCACUUAUAGCUCCACAUACUCUACAGCUUGACAGGUCUUGUGCUGCAGCACCGAUACACUUCGUCCAUUGUUGUACACUUGUUGGCAGACGACCCCUCCUAUCAAGCAAGGUAAGAAUUGGUAAGAACUUGUGUUACAGGUUGAGUGUGAGCGACUUGCUGUAGCUACAUCCUAGUAGUUGUAGGGCUUUUAUUUCUUCACUUGCCUUUUUGUUGUCUUUGUCUUUGAACCAUGCCAGGGGCAGAUGAUGGUAACGAAACACCACUUACACCUCACACUAAGGGCAUCAUACAACAUUUUGAAAGGAAAGUGAAGCUGCACACAGAGGGACUUGAUAACGACUUGCAGGUGACGAAUGAAAAGCUGGGGCGGUUGGAGGCUACACAGAUUGCCACAAACAACAAGCUCACAAGUUUGGAGGAAUCCGUUGCUAGUGUGGACAAAAGCCUUGCUGCUCUCCUAAGGCGAUUUGAUGCUUUCCACACCGAAGAUAAAGAGAAGCAUAAAGAAGAAAAGGAGGG